AAGUCGUAACAAGGUUUCCGUAGGUGAACCUGCGGAAGGAUCAUUAUUAAACGCGAAGCCAUCACUGGCCUAGCUUUAUAAUCCUUAUUACACCUGUGCACCUUAUUGUCUUCGGACAAUCUUUACAAACAACAGUGUAACGAAUGUAAACUAUUAUAAAAUAAUACAA
Molecule: unclassified non-coding RNA, 169 nt
Filed under: plant metagenome
Description: partial contains small subunit ribosomal RNA and internal transcribed spacer 1
Rfam family: Eukaryotic small subunit ribosomal RNA (bases 1-46)
Source: RNAcentral